RNAcentral lists this ribosomal RNA (468 nucleotides) under uncultured bacterium. RNAcentral's name for it is "partial 16S ribosomal RNA". It matches the Rfam family "Bacterial small subunit ribosomal RNA", at positions 28 to 507 of the family's 1533-position model. The record is from RNAcentral.
GACGAACGCUGGCGGCGUGCUUAACACAUGCAAGUCGAACGGAAAGGCCCUGCUUUUGUGGGGUGCUCGAGUGGCGAACGGGUGAGUAACACGUGAGUAACCUGCCCUUGACUUUGGGAUAACUUCAGGAAACUGGGGCUAAUACCGGAUAGGAGCUCCUGCUGCAUGGUGGGGGUUGGAAAGUUUCGGCGGUUGGGGAUGGACUCGCGGCUUAUCAGCUUGUUGGUGGGGUAGUGGCUUACCAAGGCUUUGACGGGUAGCCGGCCUGAGAGGGUGGCCGGCCACAUUGGGACUGAGAUACGGACCAGACUCCUACGGGAGGCAGCAGUGGGGAAUAUUGCACAAUGGGCGGAAGCCUGAUGCAGCAACCCCGCGUGCGGGAUGACGUCCUUCGGGUUGUAAACCGCUUUCGCCGGUGACGAAGCGUGAGUGACGGUAAUGGGUAAAGAAGCACCGGCUAACUACGUG